AGAGUUGUCAUGUGUCU
RNAcentral lists this non-coding RNA (17 nucleotides) under Mus musculus (house mouse). RNAcentral also lists the same sequence under 1 other name. Lineage: Eukaryota; Metazoa; Chordata; Mammalia; Rodentia; Muridae. The record is from RNAcentral.